AACCUAGCACACCUGCGGUGUGUACCUGCGGAGGGAUCAUUAUAGAGUUUUCUAAACUCCCAAACCCAUGUGAACUUACCAUUGUUGCCUCGGCAGAACCUACCCGGUACCUACCCUGGAACGAGCUACCCUGUAGCUACCCAGGAACGGGCUACCCUGUAACGUCCUGCCGGUGGACUUCUAAACUCUUGUUAUUUAUAGUAAUCUGAGCGUCUUAUUUUAAUAAGUCAAAACUUUCAG
RNAcentral lists this unclassified non-coding RNA (240 nucleotides) under soil metagenome. Its description in RNAcentral is "partial contains 5.8S ribosomal RNA, internal transcribed spacer 2, and large subunit ribosomal RNA". The record is from RNAcentral.